AUUGAACGCUGGCGGCAGGCCUAACACAUGCAAGUCGAGCGGCUGACGGGAGCUUGCUCCUGGAUUCAGCGGCGGACGGGUGAGUAAUGCCUAGGUAUCUUCCUCCUAUUACGGGAUAACGUCCGGAAAAGGGCGCUUAUACCCCAUACUUCCUGAUGGAGUAAGUUUGGGUUCUUCGGACCUCACUCUAUCAGAUUAGCCUAGGUCGGAUUAGCUAGUUGGUGGGGUAAAGGCCUACCAAGCCGACGAUCCGUAACUGGUCUGAGAGGAUGAUCAGUCACACUGGAACUGAGACACGGUCCAGACUCCUACGGGAGGCAGCAGUGGGGAAUAUUGGACAAUGGGCGAAAGCCUGAUCCAGCAAUGCCGCGUGUGUGAAGAAGGUCUUCGGAUUGUAAAGCACUUUAAGUUGGGAGGAAGGGCAGUAAGUUAAUACCUGGCUGGAUUGACGUUACCAACAGAAGAAGCACCGGCUAACUUCGUG
Molecule: ribosomal RNA, 484 nt
Filed under: uncultured bacterium
Lineage: Bacteria
Description: partial 16S ribosomal RNA
Rfam family: Bacterial small subunit ribosomal RNA
Source: RNAcentral